UGAGGAAGUAAAAGUCGUAACAAGGUCUCCGUUGGUGAACCAGCGGAGGGAUCAUUAUCGAGUUACCGCUCCUUAUAACCCUUUGUGAACAUACCCCAAACGUUGCCUCGGCGGGCAGCCGGAGCCCAGCUCCGGCGCCCGGAGCCGCCGUCUCGGUGCGCCCCACCCGCCGGAGGACCACUAAACUCUAUUUAAACGACGUCUCUUCUGAGUGGCACAAGCAAAUAAUCAAAACUUUUAACAACGGAUCUCUUGGUUCUGGCAUCGAUGAAGAACGCAGCGAAAUGCGAUAAGUAAUGUGAAUUGCAGAAUUCAGUGAAUCAUCGAAUCUUUGAACGCACAUUGCGCCCGCCAGCAUUCUGGCGGGCAUGCCUGUUCGAGCGUCAUUUCAACCCUCAAGCACCGCUUGGCGUUGGGGCCCUACGGCUUCCGUAGGCCCCGAAAUACAGUGGCGGACCCUCCCGGAGCCUCCUUUGCGUAGUAACAUACCACCUCGCACUGGGAUCCGGAGGGACUCCUGCCGUAAAACCCCCCAAUUUUCCAAAGGUUGACCUCGGAUCAGGUAGGAAUACCCGCUGAACUUAAGCAUAUCAAUAAGCGGAGGAA
RNAcentral lists this ribosomal RNA (606 nucleotides) under Colletotrichum gloeosporioides. Its description in RNAcentral is "eukaryotic LSU rRNA". The stretch from base 233 to 386 matches the Rfam family "5.8S ribosomal RNA". The record is from RNAcentral. Lineage: Eukaryota; Fungi; Ascomycota; Sordariomycetes; Glomerellales; Glomerellaceae.